This is a long non-coding RNA of Mastomys coucha (southern multimammate mouse), 958 nucleotides long. RefSeq lists it as uncharacterized. The transcript has 2 exons. The record is from RefSeq and is a predicted model, not a curated record. NCBI's taxonomy places the organism in Eukaryota, Metazoa, Chordata, Mammalia, Rodentia, Muridae.
CCCGAUGGGCAACAGGAAAGGAAAAACAAAAAUUACAGCAGGUAUCCGAGGCCCCGUUGGGCAUGAGAAAAAGACGAAAGGCAGGUAUCCGAGGUCCCGAUGGACCGAGAAAUAAGGGGUCUUUUGGAUAAAAAGCAGGUAUCCAUGGCCCCGAUGGGCUAAGGAGAAGAAAAAAAAGAAUAAAAGCAGGUAUCCACAGCCCAGAUGGGCAAGUUUAGAAGAAGAAAAAUAAGAAGAAAAAAAGAAUUAAAGGCAGAUGGAGAGAAACCAGUAAAGAAGCGCACGUCCACGGGAGACGAGCAAACAUGGCUGAAGCAAGCCGUUGCACGCCUUUAACUAACCGCAGCGCUGAAGGCGGAGGGACCAGAAGAGGAGUGGCCACAAAGAUUGGAAGUCUGACAUCUUAUUGGACCUUAGGUCCAACUAUAAUGUACAAAAUUAAAAUGAAUAAAGAUGGCGAUACGUAAGCUCAGUGACAUAACGCGAGAAUUUCAUUAUUUUGUGUGAUAAUGAAGGAUUAUCCUCUAUUUUACAGCUUUGGGAAAUUAGACAUAAACGUUAAAUAAUGUCCAUUAGGUUCACACACCAUGUCUAUGCAAAAUUUCAAUAUAUCUUGUACUUGGACAAACAUUGUAUCGCUCCGCGACUUGGACUAGAAGUUCUUAUGAAUCAGUUGGCGAGCUCAAACGAGGAAAAGAAAGGGUGGAAAUGCCUCACAAAAUGGCUCCUUGGUUCCUAAAUUAUCAGAGUAUCGGUUGCGUCCUAUUUGGUGGGCUUACGCUCGCAGUUUCGGGUCCUGGACAUUUUAGUCUUUCUCUGGGAACCUAAUGGCUCCAAACCUUGGGAAAAACGCGCACUGAAGAACGUUACUGGCUAGCAGUAAUGGAAAAUGGUUCUUAAAUACCGAAGCAAGGUCUGAAGGAAUAAUAAUAAUCGCUCAGUGGUAUUGUACUUGCCC